AGUGAACGCUGGCGGUAGGCCUAACACAUGCAAGUCGAACGGCAGCACAGUAAGAGCUUGCUCUUACGGGUGGCGAGUGGCGGACGGGUGAGGAAUACAUCGGAAUCUACUUUUUCGUGGGGGAUAACGUAGGGAAACUUACGCUAAUACCGCAUACGACCUACGGGUGAAAGCAGGGGAUCUUCGGACCUUGCGCGAUUGAAUGAGCCGAUGUCGGAUUAGCUAGUUGGCGGGGUAAAGGCCCACCAAGGCGACGAUCCGUAGCUGGUCUGAGAGGAUGAUCAGCCAAACUGGAACUGAGACACGGUCCCGACUCCUACGGGAGGCAGCCGUGGGGAAUUUUGGACAAUGGGCGGAAGCCUGAUCCAGCCAUACCGCGUGGGUGAAGAAGGCCUUCGGGUUGUAAAGCCCUUUUGUUGGGGAAGAAAAGCAGCAGGUUAAUACCCCGCUGUUCUGACGGUACCCAAAGAAUAAGCACCGGCUAACUUCGUG
RNAcentral lists this ribosomal RNA (492 nucleotides) under uncultured bacterium. Its description in RNAcentral is "partial 16S ribosomal RNA". It matches the Rfam family "Bacterial small subunit ribosomal RNA", at positions 29 to 507 of the family's 1533-position model. The record is from RNAcentral.